Molecule: ribosomal RNA, 305 nt
Filed under: uncultured bacterium
Lineage: Bacteria
Description: bacterial SSU rRNA
Rfam family: Bacterial small subunit ribosomal RNA
Source: RNAcentral
UCGACCCUACGGGGGGCAGCAGUGAGGAAUAUUGGUCAAUGGGCGCGAGCCUGAACCAGCCAAGUAGCGUGAAGGAUGACUGCCCUACGGGUUGUAAACUUCUUUUAUAAAGGAAUAAAGUGAGGCACGUGUGCCUUUUUGUAUGUAUUUUAUGAAUAAGGAUCGGCUAACUCCGUGCCAGCGGCCGCGGUAAUACGGAGGAUGCGAGCGUUAUCCGGAUUUAUUGGGUUUAAAGGGUGCGUAGGCGGGACGGUAAGUCAGCGGUAAAAAUGCGGAGCUCAACUCCGUCGAGCCGUUGAAACUGC